CGUGGCCAUCCCUGAGCGCUCCUACAGGUCCUAUAAGGUGGGCCCAGUGGUAGUGUGUCUGAUAGGUGUACGGUUCAACUAGGCCACAGUCCUAUGCUGUUUGAGAGACGCACAGCACACUGUAUCUGAGUCCCCUUCUCAGAUUCUACGGAGGCAGCAGUGGGUAUUUUGCACAUCGCGCCAGCCUGAUGCAGCAUGCGGUGUGUGAGAUGCUCGGUUGUAAGCACUUCAGCGGGAGAGCGUGAGUAUACGUCGUCGAUGACGUACCCGCAGAAGAGCACUGCUAACUCGUGCCAGCAGCCGCGGUAAUACGGAGGGUGCAGCGUUAUCGGAAUUACUGGGCGUAAAGCGCACGCGGGCGGUCUGUCAAGUCGGAUGUGAAAUCCCCGGGCUCACCUGGGAACUGCAUUCGAAACUGGCAGGCUAGAGUCUUGUAGAGGGGGGUAGAAUUCCAGGUGUAGCGGUGAAAUGCGUAGAGAUCUGGAGGAAUACCGGUGGCGAAGGCGGCCCCCUGGACAAAGACUGACGCUCAGGUGCGAGAGCGUGGGGAGCAAACAGGAUUAGAUACCCUGGUAGUCCACGCCGUAAACGAUGUCGAUUUGGAGGUUGUGCCCUUGAGGCGUGGCUUCCGGAGCUAACGCGUUAAAUCGACCGCCUGGGGAGUACGGCCGCAAGGUUAAAACUCAAAUGAAUUGACGGGGGCCCGCACAAGCGGUGGAGCAUGUGGUUUAAUUCGAUGCAACGCGAAGAACCUUACCUGGUCUUGACAUCCACAGAACUUAGCAGAGAUGGAUUGGUGCCUUCGGGAACUGUGAGACAGGUGCUGCAUGGCUGUCGUCAGCUCGUGUUGUGAAAUGUUGGGUUAAGUCCCGCAACGAGCGCAACCCUUAUCCUUUGUUGCCAGCGGUCCGGCCGGGAACUCAAAGGAGACUGCCAGUGAUAAACUGGAGGAAGGUGGGGAUGACGUCAAGUCAUCAUGGCCCUUACGACCAGGGCUACACACGUGCUACAAUGGCAUAUACAAAGAGAAGCGACCUCGCGAGAGCAAGCGGACCUCAUAAAGUAUGUCGUAGUCCGGAUUGGAGUCUGCAACUCGACUCCAUGAAGUCGGAAUCGCUAGUAAUCGUAGAUCAGAAUGCUACGGUGAAUACGUUCCCGGGCCUUGUACACACCGCCCGUCACACCAUGGGAUUUGGUUGCAAAAGAAGUAGGUAGAUGUACCUUCAGGAUGACACACUGCCAGAGUUUUAGGCAUGC
This 1257-nucleotide ribosomal RNA is filed under the name Klebsiella pneumoniae. RNAcentral describes it as "bacterial SSU rRNA". It matches the Rfam family "Bacterial small subunit ribosomal RNA", at positions 189 to 1473 of the family's 1533-position model. Lineage: Bacteria; Pseudomonadati; Pseudomonadota; Gammaproteobacteria; Enterobacterales; Enterobacteriaceae. The record is from RNAcentral.